This 442-nucleotide ribosomal RNA is filed under the name uncultured bacterium. RNAcentral's name for it is "partial 16S ribosomal RNA". It matches the Rfam family "Bacterial small subunit ribosomal RNA", at positions 338 to 795 of the family's 1533-position model. The record is from RNAcentral.
CCUACGGGAGACAGCAGUGGGGGAUAUUGCACAAUGGGGGGAACCCUGAUGCAGCGACGCCGCGUGGGCGAAGAAGUAUUUAGGUGUGUAAAGCCCUCUCAGCAGGGAAGAAGAAAUGACGGUACCUGAGUAAGAAGCACCGGCUAAAUACGUGCCAGCAGCCGCGGUAAUACGUAUGGUGCACGCGUUAUCCGGAUUUACUGGGUGUAAAGGGAGCGCAGGCGGCACGGCAAGCCUGAUGUGAAAGCCCGGGGCCCAACCGCGGGACUGCGUUUGGAACUACCGGGCUGGAGUGCCGGAGAGGUAGGCGGAAUGCCUAGUGUAGCGGUGAAAUGCGUAGAUAUCAGGAGGAACACCAGUGGCGAAGGCGGCCUACUGGACGGUGACUGACGCUGAGGCUCGAAAGCGUGGGGAGCAAACAGGAUUAGAUACCCGAGUAGUC